GCGUGAGUGAAGAAGGCCCUAGGGUUGUAAAACUCUUUCACUGGUGACGAUGAUGACGGUAGCCAGAGAAGAAGCCCCGGCUAACUCCGUGCCAGCAGCCGCGGUAAUACGGAGGGGGCUAGCGUUGUUCGGAAUUACUGGGCGUAAAGCGCAUGUAGGCGGCGUAUCAAGUCGGGGGUGAAAGGCCUGGGCUCAACCCAGGAACUGCCUUCGAUACUGAUGCGCUGGAGUCCGGGAGAGGGUAGCGGAAUUCCCAGUGUAGAGGUGAAAUUCGU
This 275-nucleotide ribosomal RNA is filed under the name uncultured bacterium. RNAcentral describes it as "partial 16S ribosomal RNA". It matches the Rfam family "Bacterial small subunit ribosomal RNA", at positions 399 to 691 of the family's 1533-position model. The record is from RNAcentral.